RNAcentral lists this ribosomal RNA (253 nucleotides) under uncultured bacterium. RNAcentral describes it as "partial 16S ribosomal RNA". It matches the Rfam family "Bacterial small subunit ribosomal RNA", at positions 524 to 776 of the family's 1533-position model. The record is from RNAcentral.
UACGUAGGGGGCGAGCGUUGUCCGGAAUUAUUGGGCGUAAAGAGCGUGUAGGCGGCUUGGCAAGUCCGCUGUGAAAACUCGAGGCUUAACCUCGAGACGUCGGUGGAAACUGCCUGGCUAGAGUCCGGAAGAGGAGUGUGGAAUUCCUGGUGUAGCGGUGAAAUGCGCAGAUAUCAGGAAGAACACCUAUGGCGAAGGCAGCACUCUGGGACGGUACUGACGCUGAGACGCGAAAGCGUGGGGAGCGAACAGG